CUUAGCCGCCAUACCACAACAAAAAGAAACACACCCGAUCUUGUCUGAUCUUGGAAGCUAAGCAGGGUCAGGACUGGUUAGUACUUGGAUGGGAGACCACCUGGGAAUACCAGGUGCUGUAGGC
Molecule: ribosomal RNA, 124 nt
Filed under: Prolemur simus (greater bamboo lemur)
Lineage: Eukaryota; Metazoa; Chordata; Mammalia; Primates; Lemuridae
Source: RNAcentral